Molecule: ribosomal RNA, 433 nt
Filed under: uncultured bacterium
Lineage: Bacteria
Description: partial 16S ribosomal RNA
Rfam family: Bacterial small subunit ribosomal RNA
Source: RNAcentral
AACGAACGCUGGCGGCAUGCCUAACACAUGCAAGUCGAACGAGACCUUCGGGUCUAGUGGCGCACGGGUGCGUAACGCGUGGGAACCUGCCCUUAGGUUCGGAAUAACUCCCCGAAAGGGGUGCUAAUACCGGAUAAUGUCUUCGGACCAAAGAUUUAUCGCCUUUGGAUGGGCCCGCGUUGGAUUAGCUAGUUGGUAGGGUAAAAGCCUACCAAGGCGACGAUCCAUAGCUGGUCUGAGAGGAUGAUCAGCCACACUGGGACUGAGACACGGCCCAGACUCCUACGGGAAGCAGCAGUGGGGAAUAUUGGAAAAUGGGCGAAAGCCUGAACCAGCAAUGCCGCGUGAGUGAUGAAGGCCUUAGGGUUGUAAAGCUCUUUUAACCGGGAUGAUAAUGACAGUACCGGGAGAAUAAGCUCCGGCUAACUCCGUG